ACGCUCGACACCUACGGGGGGCAGCAGUGGGGAAUAUUGCACAAUGGGGGAAACCCUGAUGCAGCAACGCCGCGUGAAGGAAGACGGUUUUCGGAUUGUAAACUUCUGUUCUUAGUGAAGAUAGUGACGGUAGCUAAGGAGCAAGCCACGGCUAACUACGUGCCAGCAGCCGCGGUAAUCUGAGCGGGCUGGCAAGGC
RNAcentral lists this ribosomal RNA (198 nucleotides) under uncultured bacterium. RNAcentral's name for it is "partial 16S ribosomal RNA". It matches the Rfam family "Bacterial small subunit ribosomal RNA", at positions 328 to 539 of the family's 1533-position model. The record is from RNAcentral.